UUAAGCGACUAAGCGUACACGGUGGAUGCCCUGGCAGUCAGAGGCGAUGAAGGACGUGCUAAUCUGCGAUAAGCGUCGGUAAGGUGAUAUGAACCGUUAUAACCGGCGAUUUCCGAAUGGGGAAACCCAGUGUGAUUCGUCACACUAUCAUUAACUGAAUCCAUAGGUUAAUGAGGCGAACCGGGGGAACUGAAACAUCUAAGUACCCCGAGGAAAAGAAAUCAACCGAGAUUCCCCCAGUAGCGGCGAGCGAACGGGGAGCAGCCCAGAGCCUGAAUCAGUGUGUGUGUUAGUGGAAGCGUCUGGAAAGGCGCGCGAUACAGGGUGACAGCCCCGUACACAAAAAUGCACAUGCUGUGAGCUCGAUGAGUAGGGCGGGACACGUGGUAUCCUGUCUGAAUAUGGGGGGACCAUCCUCCAAGGCUAAAUACUCCUGACUGACCGAUAGUGAACCAGUACCGUGAGGGAAAGGCGAAAAGAACCCCGGCGAGGGGAGUGAAAAAGAACCUGAAACCGUGUACGUACAAGCAGUGGGAGCACGCUUAGGCGUGUGACUGCGUACCUUUUGUAUAAUGGGUCAGCGACUUAUAUUCUGUAGCAAGGUUAACCGAAUAGGGGAGCCGAAGGGAAACCGAGUCUUAACUGGGCGUUAAGUUGCAGGGUAUAGACCCGAAACCCGGUGAUCUAGCCAUGGGCAGGUUGAAGGUUGGGUAACACUAACUGGAGGACCGAACCGACUAAUGUUGAAAAAUUAGCGGAUGACUUGUGGCUGGGGGUGAAAGGCCAAUCAAACCGGGAGAUAGCUGGUUCUCCCCGAAAGCUAUUUAGGUAGCGCCUCGUGAAUUCAUCUCCGGGGGUAGAGCACUGUUUCGGCAAGGGGGUCAUCCCGACUUACCAACCCGAUGCAAACUGCGAAUACCGGAGAAUGUUAUCACGGGAGACACACGGCGGGUGCUAACGUCCGUCGUGAAGAGGGAAACAACCCAGACCGCCAGCUAAGGUCCCAAAGUCAUGGUUAAGUGGGAAACGAUGUGGGAAGGCCCAGACAGCCAGGAUGUUGGCUUAGAAGCAGCCAUCAUUUAAAGAAAGCGUAAUAGCUCACUGGUCGAGUCGGCCUGCGCGGAAGAUGUAACGGGGCUAAACCAUGCACCGAAGCUGCGGCAGCGACGCUGAUGCGUUGUUGGGUAGGGGAGCGUUCUGUAAGCCUGUGAAGGUGUACUGUGAGGUAUGCUGGAGGUAUCAGAAGUGCGAAUGCUGACAUAAGUAACGAUAAAGCGGGUGAAAAGCCCGCUCGCCGGAAGACCAAGGGUUCCUGUCCAACGUUAAUCGGGGCAGGGUGAGUCGACCCCUAAGGCGAGGCCGAAAGGCGUAGUCGAUGGGAAACAGGUUAAUAUUCCUGUACUUGGUGUUACUGCGAAGGGGGGACGGAGAAGGCUAUGUUGGCCGGGCGACGGUUGUCCCGGUUUAAGCGUGUAGGCUGGUUUUCCAGGCAAAUCCGGAAAAUCAAGGCUGAGGCGUGAUGACGAGGCACUACGGUGCUGAAGCAACAAAUGCCCUGCUUCCAGGAAAAGCCUCUAAGCAUCAGGUAACAUCAAAUCGUACCCCAAACCGACACAGGUGGUCAGGUAGAGAAUACCAAGGCGCUUGAGAGAACUCGGGUGAAGGAACUAGGCAAAAUGGUGCCGUAACUUCGGGAGAAGGCACGCUGAUAUGUAGGUGAAGCGACUUGCUCGUGGAGCUGAAAUCAGUCGAAGAUACCAGCUGGCUGCAACUGUUUAUUAAAAACACAGCACUGUGCAAACACGAAAGUGGACGUAUACGGUGUGACGCCUGCCCGGUGCCGGAAGGUUAAUUGAUGGGGUCAGCGCAAGCGAAGCUCUUGAUCGAAGCCCCGGUAAACGGCGGCCGUAACUAUAACGGUCCUAAGGUAGCGAAAUUCCUUGUCGGGUAAGUUCCGACCUGCACGAAUGGCGUAAUGAUGGCCAGGCUGUCUCCACCCGAGACUCAGUGAAAUUGAACUCGCUGUGAAGAUGCAGUGUACCCGCGGCAAGACGGAAAGACCCCGUGAACCUUUACUAUAGCUUGACACUGAACAUUGAGCCUUGAUGUGUAGGAUAGGUGGGAGGCUUUGAAGUGUGGACGCCAGUCUGCAUGGAGCCGACCUUGAAAUACCACCCUUUAAUGUUUGAUGUUCUAACGUUGACCCGUGAUCCGGGUUGCGGACAGUGUCUGGUGGGUAGUUUGACUGGGGCGGUCUCCUCCUAAAGAGUAACGGAGGAGCACGAAGGUUGGCUAAUCCUGGUCGGACAUCAGGAGGUUAGUGCAAUGGCAUAAGCCAGCUUGACUGCGAGCGUGACGGCGCGAGCAGGUGCGAAAGCAGGUCAUAGUGAUCCGGUGGUUCUGAAUGGAAGGGCCAUCGCUCAACGGAUAAAAGGUACUCCGGGGAUAACAGGCUGAUACCGCCCAAGAGUUCAUAUCGACGGCGGUGUUUGGCACCUCGAUGUCGGCUCAUCACAUCCUGGGGCUGAAGUAGGUCCCAAGGGUAUGGCUGUUCGCCAUUUAAAGUGGUACGCGAGCUGGGUUUAGAACGUCGUGAGACAGUUCGGUCCCUAUCUGCCGUGGGCGCUGGAGAACUGAGGGGGGCUGCUCCUAGUACGAGAGGACCGGAGUGGACGCAUCACUGGUGUUCGGGUUGUCAUGCCAAUGGCACUGCCCGGUAGCUAAAUGCGGAAGAGAUAAGUGCUGAAAGCAUCUAAGCACGAAACUUGCCCCGAGAUGAGUUCUCCCUGACUCCUUGAGAGUCCUGAAGGAACGUUGAAGACGACGACGUUGAUAGGCCGGGUGUGUAAGCGCAGCGAUGCGUUGAGCUAACCGGUACUAAUGAACCGUGAGGCUUAACCU
Molecule: ribosomal RNA, 2901 nt
Filed under: Escherichia coli O8:H8
Lineage: Bacteria; Pseudomonadati; Pseudomonadota; Gammaproteobacteria; Enterobacterales; Enterobacteriaceae
Description: 23S ribosomal RNA
Rfam family: Bacterial large subunit ribosomal RNA
Source: RNAcentral